GCUUUCGUGGUGUAGUGGUCAGCACGCUCGACGCGUAAUCGAGAGGUCCGUGGUUCGAUUCCCGGCCAGAGCG
Molecule: transfer RNA, 73 nt
Filed under: Stegodyphus mimosarum
Lineage: Eukaryota; Metazoa; Arthropoda; Arachnida; Araneae; Eresidae
Rfam family: tRNA
About the family: Transfer RNA (tRNA) molecules are approximately 80 nucleotides in length. Their secondary structure includes four short double-helical elements and three loops (D, anti-codon, and T loops). Further hydrogen bonds mediate the characteristic L-shaped molecular structure. tRNAs have two regions of fundamental functional importance: the anti-codon, which is responsible for specific mRNA codon recognition, and the 3' end, to which the tRNAs corresponding amino acid is attached (by aminoacyl-tRNA synthetases). tRNAs cope with the degeneracy of the genetic code in two manners: having more than one tRNA (with a specific anti-codon) for a particular amino acid; and 'wobble' base-pairing, i.e. permitting non-standard base-pairing at the 3rd anti-codon position.
Source: Rfam by way of RNAcentral